AAUUCGCCCUUCGGGGCGCACCAGGCGCGAAAACUCUACAAUGCAGGCAACUGCGAUAGGGGAACAUCGAGUGAUCCUCAUAUUGGGGGUCUGUCCCACCGUCUAAAAAACGGUGGUUAGCAAGGGCCGGGCAAGACCGGUGCCAGCCGCCGCGGUAAUACCGGCGGCUCGAGUGGUGGCCGAUAUUAUUGAGUCUAAAGGGUCCGUAGCCGGCUUUGCAAGUCUCUCGGGAAAUCCAGCGGCUUAACCGUUGGUCGUCCGGGGGGUACUACAUUGCUUGGGACUGGGAGAGGUAGGAGGUACUCAGGGGGUAGGAGUGAAAUCCUGUAAUCCUCUGGGGACCACCGGUGGCGAAGGCGUCCUACCAGAACAGGUCCGACGGUGAGGGACGAAAGCUAGGGGCACGAACCGGAUUAGAUACCCGGGUAGUCCUAGCCGUAAACGAUGCUCGCUAGGUGUCACAACAGUCGUGAACUGUUGUGGUGCCGUAGGGAAGCCGUGAAGCGAGCCACUUGGGAAGUACGACCGCAAGGUUGAAACUUAAAGGAAUUGGCGGGGGAGCAC
This 564-nucleotide ribosomal RNA is filed under the name uncultured archaeon. Its description in RNAcentral is "bacterial SSU rRNA". It matches the Rfam family "Archaeal small subunit ribosomal RNA", at positions 315 to 879 of the family's 1478-position model. The record is from RNAcentral.